Long non-coding RNA from Myiozetetes cayanensis, 878 nucleotides. RefSeq lists it as uncharacterized. The record is from RefSeq and is a predicted model, not a curated record. The transcript is spliced from 3 exons. Lineage: Eukaryota; Metazoa; Chordata; Aves; Passeriformes; Tyrannidae.
GUGAGGCUUUCAGGAGUUUCACUUGUUUCUUUGUUUUGAUUUCUUGAGGGUUUGCAGGAUUCUUUGUUGGGUUUUGGGCUUUGUGUGUGCGUGUUUUAACAUGUAUACUGAAGUGCUCCUCAUUUUGAUGUUCUGUUUGAGUUUUUUCAGUGGACAUGUGGAGCUUCUACCCAUCAUUUAUGAAAAGGCCUUGAGGAACUUCUACAGGAUAUGGUAUUAUGGUCCUUGAGUUUAUGGACUAUAAACUUUUUUUCCUUUCUUUAAGGAAAAAUAGUCUAAGUUGACAGAAAUUGUAAAGCAUGAAGUCCUGGCUCUCUGGGGAGGUCCCAGAUGAUUGGAAGUUGGUGAAUGUCACAUGAAUCCAGAAAAAGGGCGAGAAGGAGGACCUGGGAAACUACAGACCUGUCAGUCUGACCUCAGUGCCUGGCAGAGUUAUGGAGCAGAUCAUCCUGAGUGCAAUCACACAGCACCUACAGGAUGGACAAGGGAUCAGAGCCAGCCAGCACGGGUUUAGGAGAGGCAGAUCCUGUCUGACCAACCUGAUCUCCUUUUAUGAUCAGGUGACCUGCCUGGUGGAUGAGGGGAAGGCUGUGGAUGUGUCUGUCUGGACUUCAGCAAAGCCUUUGACACUGUCUCCUGUAAUAUACUCCUGGAAAAGCUGGCAGCCCAUGGCUUAGACAGGGGCACUCUGUGCUGGGUUAAGAACUGGCUGGAGGGCAGUUGCAUUUAAUAUAGUCUUCAACAGAAUUUCUGUAAGUGAUUCUAGCUGAGAAUCUGUCCCAGUGUUUUCUCAUUCUAGUACUGUCUUCACAUUUAAGAGAGUUUUCAAACAAGAAUGUUAAAAAAUAAUAUUACACAAUAAAAUUUUAUGAUUUCUG